RNAcentral lists this ribosomal RNA (396 nucleotides) under uncultured Eubacterium sp. RNAcentral's name for it is "bacterial SSU rRNA". It matches the Rfam family "Bacterial small subunit ribosomal RNA", at positions 355 to 767 of the family's 1533-position model. The record is from RNAcentral. Lineage: Bacteria; Bacillati; Bacillota; Clostridia; Eubacteriales; Eubacteriaceae.
UGGGGAAUAUUGCACAAUGGGGGAAACCGUGAUGCAGCAACGCCGCGUGAAGGAAGACGGUCUUCGGAUUGUAAACUUUUGUUCUUGGUGAAGAAGAAUGACGGUAGCCAAGGAGGAAGCCACGGCUAACUACGUGCCAGCAGCCGCGGUAAUACGUAGGUGGCAAGCGUUGUCCGGAAUUACUGGGUGUAAAGGGAGCGCAGGCGGGAAAUCAAGUUGGAUGUGAAAUGUCGGGGCUUAACCCCGGAACUGCAUCCAAAACUGAUAUUCUUGAGUGAAGUAGAGGUAGGCGGAAUUCCGAGUGUAGCGGUGAAAUGCGUAGAUAUUCGGAAGAACACCGGUGGCGAAGGCGACUUUCUGGACGACAACUGACGCUGAGGCGCGAAAGCGUGGGGA